Molecule: transfer-messenger RNA, 361 nt
Filed under: Desulfovibrionaceae
Lineage: Bacteria; Pseudomonadati; Thermodesulfobacteriota; Desulfovibrionia; Desulfovibrionales
Also listed under: 1 other name
Description: Maridesulfovibrio sp004923195 Standard tmRNA
Rfam family: transfer-messenger RNA
About the family: Bacterial tmRNA, also known as 10Sa RNA or SsrA, is named for its dual tRNA and mRNA-like properties. Its role is to liberate the mRNA from a stalled ribosome.
Source: RNAcentral
GGGGGCGCACUGGUUUCGACGGGGGUGAAUGAAGCCAAGGUUGCAGGUCGUGGCGCCGCUGGCCACGUAAAAAGCGGCACAAUCAUAAUUGCAAACGACAAUUACGAUUACGCAAUGGCAGCUUAAUUAAGCUUGCCAUGUCAUAGCUUUGAUGUCUGAUAUUAGCUUUGACAACAAACCCCAUCAGGCUGGCUAUUCUUCCGUUGCACGUCCGGAAGGAGGCGAGAACCUAGCACGCGCUGGCUCAUUUGUUGCCUGUUCAGGGGCGUUCAUUUGGGCGAGAAACAAUACUUGAACUAAACCUGUAGACAUCUUGGUGGAGCAUUCUCGGACGGGAGUUCGAUUCUCCCCGCCUCCACCA